Long non-coding RNA from Apis dorsata (giant honeybee), 438 nucleotides. RefSeq lists it as uncharacterized. Lineage: Eukaryota; Metazoa; Arthropoda; Insecta; Hymenoptera; Apidae. The record is from RefSeq and is a predicted model, not a curated record. The transcript has 2 exons.
AAAGCAAUAACAAAUGGUUUUUCAAAAUCGUCCAAUAAAAAAAUUUUUUAAAUUAUUCUCAAUGGAAAGUAGAUGAUCGAUAACAAUUUUAAUACUUUUUUACCGACUAAGCAAACGAAACGUUCUUCCUCACCUCUCCACCCGCUUUGAAGCAGGAAUCGAUAGAAGAAUGCGACGUAGCGUGAAGAAAAAAAGGAACAAGCCACGCAUUCCUCGAGAUAUAAACUUACUCAUUGAACGAUGUGAAAUCCAACACCAAUGGAUUAAAAUUAUCUUCAUUCAAUGAUUGAAGACUAUAACUUCCCCAUAAAUUGAUACUUUUCUCAUCCAAUUUAAACUUGUCAAUCUUCAAUUCUACAAAUUUUGCCCAAAAUGUACAAUCUGUAGUAGAUCUGAGUUUUGUAAAUUUUACAAAUUCCGACAUUUUUAAUUUCUGAA